ACUAACGGGCGUGUUUCUUUUAUUUUAGUGUAUAACGUAAUGUAAACUAAGUAAGAAAAUAUUGACGCAGUCAGCUGUCUUGGUCAGCACCCCAGCCCAGGUGUGAAUCAACACUGGCACAUUAUAUCAAAAUUCAGGAUGGUGGCUGAAGCUCUGACAUCUCCUAUGUAAACACCUAAAUGCCAAGUCUGGACUUCAAAAACAGAUUCUGAAAGUUUAACCAGCAUUAUGGACAAAAAGUAUACACUUUGAACAGACACAAAAACAUAUAGGUCCAUGCCAAGCUAUGAAAGAUUAAUGCUGAGGAUAAAAGAGAAUUGCAGAAGAAUAGAUUGAUGUUCAAAAAAUUCAACAUUAAAUUUGGCUUAGA
Long non-coding RNA from Saccostrea echinata, 370 nucleotides. RefSeq lists it as uncharacterized. The transcript is spliced from 4 exons. The record is from RefSeq and is a predicted model, not a curated record. Lineage: Eukaryota; Metazoa; Mollusca; Bivalvia; Ostreida; Ostreidae.